RNAcentral lists this long non-coding RNA (10237 nucleotides) under Chlamydomonas reinhardtii. RNAcentral describes it as "long non-coding RNA (CREI_LNC000845)". The record is from RNAcentral. Lineage: Eukaryota; Viridiplantae; Chlorophyta; Chlorophyceae; Chlamydomonadales; Chlamydomonadaceae.
AGUCAAGAACACCGAGGACGAGGCAGAACAGGCCAAAUCCGCAAGGGCUCACAUGAAUGUGGAAGCAAGAAGCACCCGAUAUGGUCACUCACGCAUUCUUCUCCGCGCUCUCGUCUAGAGCAAAACCCUGUCAAUGCCAAGUGCUCUCGGGCCACUCCAAGCUUUUCAUGCCCCCUACGCUCGAGUAAUCGAGCUCAGAAACCAGCCCCGCGUUACGCCGAGCCGCGUAGUAGGUAAGCGAAGUAGCGCAAAUUCUCACGCUGACACCGCUCCAGUCGCAGCCACCGGACAGCUUCAGGACACACGCUCUGUGUCAGCAGUUACUAUAGGCGACUGCGGCUUGUGCCCGCAGUGCUCAUGCAGGCGGUUUACUUGACAAACUUGCUCAUGUCGUUGUCGAACAGGCUCGUGCUGCGGCCCACGAACAUUGAGCGAAUGGAGUUCUUGAACUGGUCACCCUUCUUGGCUGCCUCAGCAGUCUCAGGCGUGAUGCCCGCAGUCUGCUCGGGGUCGUGCUGUCGGUGGGCAAUUUGUGGGGCAGCAGACCGCGGUUGGCAAGCCAAUCGCAAAGCACAGCAGGCUAUAAUGAGGCACCUAAAGAGGACGCAGGCUAGGGUGCCAACAGAGCCUCCUGAGUCGCAAACAAACUCGGCGGCAAAGCUCGAUUGCCUCGCCCUGCGCCCUGUCCACUUACGCGGAUGACGCGGUAAAGCAUGGUGCUGAAGGCGCCCGCCGCGAAGACGAUGGGCACGGACAGCGCCAGAAUAUCAGCGGGAAUGCCACGGGCGGGGGCCAUGAUGCACAGCUGAAGUGAACACAAGGAAGAGGGUAGUAAGAGGUCUCAGGAGUGCAAGAGGCGCAAGAGUGAGUAGCGAAGUCGCGGAUGCGUCUGAAAUCACGCCCUUUUGUGCCCAAUCUGGGCGCCCAAUCAUGCCGCUCACACAGCGGUCACCCCAUUACGUGACGCACUAACGCACAGAGCCCAAAUAUGCACUAGUUAGCAAACGAGUUAAUUGAUUUGGAGCAACGGUGGCGAGGGAGGUGGAAAGCCGGUAGGUCUGAUCAAGUGUUCCCCGGUCACGGGAAAAGGGGCUGCUUUAGACCGUUGUUUGGCAGUUUGGCGCGUCAGAACGAACAGAAGUCUGUGGUGGCACAACUGACGAGCCCCCGAACCCAGCAUUUUAAGGCUAGGAUAUGUCUGGCGCGCUUCUGCACUGCAUCCAGUCGUCAACCAUCACAACACCCUGACUCCCGCCCCGCUAUGGACAAACCGCCAAUACCUAGUGUAGGCCGUGUAGCCUGGCGUGUGGUUAUGCCCGCUUCACCACCUCGAUGGUCCAGAUGGUCCUCCCCUGCCCACCACACAUCCACCCUUGUCCGCAACCGUGGGGCACUUGGCGAUCAGUACGGCGCCUUGCCGCCUUCAUGGCUCUUCUGCUCCCACUGCUCAGCCUUCUAGGACCUUCUUCUUUGCCAGGAACUCCAGGUCGCUGUCGUCUUUAAGCAGGUGAUGGCAGGGCUUGCAUCUUCCAGGGCUAGGCCCUCUCGCUGUCAUGAACCCAAUCUUAGGGCUUGCAUCUUCGGGCAGCGGCAAGAAACGGGCCCAAAUGCCGGCCCUCAGGCGAGAAAGAUUGGGCGUUUCCGGGGGUGCAUUCUCGUCGCGUGGGGGCUGCAUACGGCCCCCGAAUCUCGCCUGGAUGCCGUGGGCGAGAUUGCGAGAACUGGCGAGAACGUGGUCAUGGGCUCAUGGCCCGUCUCGCCAGCGGCGGCGGCCUACCCCUGGAAGGUGCCCUGGAACCCAUGCGAAGGAUAAAAGGAGGUAGCUGUACCGCCACGUCAGUCAGGCAGAGUGGCCCUGACGCGCGACCGACGAUAAGGGGCACUUCCCGCCAGGUUUCCUUUGGGGUCGCUACCACUGGGCUACCGAGAACCAGAAAUGGCAACGUCGCGGCCAAAAGCGACCCGCGAUGCGACGCUGAAGGGCGCCUCAAGCCCGCGCGGACCAGUACAUGCAAGAUAACCCUGUGGUGUCUUGCCCGUCGGCAACCAUACUUAUAGCCCGAAACCGUACCGGCACCCAGUCACGCAUUCCCGCUGUAGUCGCAACCUCCUUCCACAACGUACCCAUUGCCCCUAACAGGCACGCGUCGAUGGCAGCCACUUGCCUUGUGGACGCCCCUACUGGCAGCACCGGCACUCAUGGCUGCGGCGUGCCACUCCGUGUCUGCGGGUCUGCCGUGCCGACUCUUGUCCAGUGUUACGGAGUAUACCGGUAUGUCCAAACCAUGAGCCGCUAGCACAUUAAGCUGCACUGCACAACAAGGAGGUGGCUGCCUUAGGAAUGCGGAUGUUACAGAGGGGACAGUCCCAGCACCCGAAGACGCCGAGCCAUCACAUGCUAUCAGGGCCCAACAUGACUCCACCAACCCCGACUUUGCUGCAAACCCUCCCGCGGGCAAAGUCCGUGUGACUCCGCGCACAGUGAGUCCUAGCCAAGCCUCAACCCGCCAGAGCCCCACCGCUGUGCCUCAACGUCACAAGCCUAGGCACAGAAGUGCCGGGAAACGUCUAGGCCGCAGGACACAUGCACAGCACACGCACUAACCAGGGCGCAAGCGUCCAGGUACUAGAACGGUCGCCCACGCGUACAACCUGCCCACGCACAAAGCCACCAACCACGCACAACCUCUCACGGCGAGGAGGCGGGGAAUCAGCGUCAUACGGCAAGCGCAAAACCAUGCCGUCACCAACAGCCCGAGAGAUGAAAGGAUGCGCAGACGGCACAGUGUCCCAACCCUUCGGCCUGAUACCCAAAGACACAAACGUCUGGAGCCGACCCCAGAAGUCAGCUACGACGGCAAGUCCAAUGCUCAGCACCCGGGCCGACGGCAGCUUCGCUCGCGCCGCCAGCCCGGCCAUAACCAUACGCUGCCGACCAAAGUCCAGGGCAGACAUAGCAGCGAGACACACCACAUCCCACACAGGUGGCGCAAGCCCCGCAGGCGGGCGCACCAACCACAACUCCUCACGAGAGAAGGCACCUAGAGCAUCCUCUGGCAUGAAACCCAUAGCCAUUCCCAUGUGUUCCCGCAGGGACAGCGCCACAGUGCAGUCCCAAAACCAGUGACGCCGGUCCCCAUCCUGCAUGUCAACACCACAUGCCCAACACCUGCCUUAGGGAGGCAGGAAAAGGGCUGAUCCCGGGUCGUUAUCAACCCAGCCACCUUGACGCGGGCGCCUACUAAGCACACGCCUCUAUGUUGGGGGCCUUUGGCAUCCCCGCAAAUCCGGACGCGUCCACUGGGGGUUGCGCCCGGACCAGGAAGAAAGAGGCGUGAGAGCGAGCCGCUACAGAAAUGGACAACGGUGACAGGCUCUUUAUGACGGCUCGCCGUCUGCUGUGUCUUUGUAGCACAUUUACGACGUACAGAAGUCAUACUGCGCAAAGCCAUGGCUUGCUUUUCGGGCAACCUCGCGAAAGUCAAUUGUCCAUGGACGUGCGAAGGCACCUCUCGCUCCGCCCGAAUUUUCCCCGCCGCCUAUUUAUAUGCAAUAGGCAUUAACAAAUACUAAUACGUAGCAGUCGCGGUUUGCGCCAGUAUGCUACGGUAUGUUUUGCCGACGCCACGGACAGGGGUGUUCCUGGGGGGCUUCGCCCCCCCCCCCCCUGGAACGCUUCGCUGGGGGGGCACUGCACAAAAACCAUACGUCCCAGAACCGUCAGCAAGGACCAGUGAACAUUUCUUUGAGACUCAUCUUGGAAUAUACACAUAGGCGUGGGUGCGCAAGCGUGCAGCCGCCCCGGCGCUUCCUCGCCGCAAUUCCCAGCUACCCCCAUCACCUACUUGCCAGCCCCAACUCAAGACGUACUGUAAGAAACCGGAACCAAGUGCAUGCAUGCCCAGAAGUCGUGCUGCUGAACAAGCAUACGCUUCAUACGGUCCCGCACUUUACGACAUAAGGACACUUCGUUCGUCAGCAACCGUUCAAUAUAUCAGCGACCGGUGCCAGAAUGUGCAAGCGGGACCGUCAGAAGCUCACUACCAGAAAUACGGUACAAUGCGCAAGGCGCCCACACACGUAAAUUGCGUGCACGGCAACGACCGCAACAUCAUCGUCCACUCUCCCUUGGCAUGGGCCCAUGACGCCGGCCCUGUCUCAAGCGGGGCCAGGCACCUACCCUAUAGGGCGGCCCCAGUACUGCGCCCGAGCCCAGCCGCCCACCUCUGACAACAUAACACACGGUAUACUAACACCAGACGACGUCCAAAUACAACCCACAUGCCGCUGGCCUACAUGGCAGCAGCGCUUGCCCUGCCAGGCACAGCACGCCCAUACCUACCAACACUCACGUCCACACUUGGCCGCCAUCUAGGCCGAUAUCCCCUCACUCAGAAAGGCAUUGCUCCUGACCCAUGCAUGCCCCCGGUGUGCACACUGCCCAGUCCCCCGCUCCCAUGCAGCUGCUCCACUGACAUACUGGACUGAGGUGCCCACGCGUGCUACAAGAACACCGGCUGCUCACAACGCAGCGGCAACUCUUAAGCACUAGCGGGACCCGUUCUUUGUUCUCUCUCUUCUCUGACCCCUCGUGUAGCAUGUGCUAGCUCACCAGGUGCCAUAUGAAGCUCACCGAGCGACGUCAAAAUUGGCGACAUGCCAUGCAAAAACGGAGUACACCGCCCGGCCUCAGGCCUGCGGGACGGUAUGCUGGCCCGCCCCAAGCGUGCCAGACAGCCCCGCCGGCACCUGGGGCAGUGACGCCGACCCCGAGGCGGAACCGGCCCCAGGGCCGGCGGGUCCCACGGGCGGCGCUGACACGUUUCGGCUGCUGACAGCUGCGUCCAGUGCGGUGGGUGCUAGGAAAUCGAGGCCGUCCAGGGUUGGCAGCGGGCCCAGCAGCUGCAAAUCGGAGAAGCACAUGCUGUCGGCGCGGGUGGUGGUCAUCGUCAGCACCGACUCGGCCGGGAGCGCGGCGCCAACGCCCGCUGCCUGGGCCUGACCCGGCGCAGGGCUGGCCGCGGCAGCCACCCCGGUCACCGGGCACAGGCUGGGCAGGCUGUCCAGAGCGCCCCCGCUGCUGCUGCCACCCGUCAUGCCGCCAGCGCUGCUCUCCACAGCCAUCUUCUUCGCCGCGACGCCCUCUUCCGAGCUGCCACUGCCGUCCGCUGCCCGCAUGCCGGCCUCUUCAGCGCUGCGCUUCCGGGACUCGCUGCCGUCGGCCGGCACACUAGUGCCCACCUUCGCCUGCAUCAGCCGUAUCCAUGACAGCAGCAGCGGCAGAAGGCUGUUGGUGAGCGGUGGACGAUGAAUGGUCAGGAGGAGGCGAGUUGGGCCGCGUGAAGAGUGUCGGUGGACGUAGGUGAUGUGGAUGGUGUGGAUGGUGGACGUAGGUAGUGGGCCGGCGUGCGCAGGUCAGGGUGGUGGUGCCGGCGAUGAACGGUCCAAUUACGCGUGCAUGGGGUUCGAGGGUGGUGAGGGGGUGGGAGGCAUCAGCCACCAAGGCAAGGAACUAUCCCACAGCUCGAAACAUGGCACGCACUAGCAGGUACAGAGCGCUACGGCAACCGCAGAAUCCGCACGCACGCACGCACGCACGCACGCAAGUAAACGCCAUAGCCUAGUCGCACCAGGCUCCGCACUCACUGUGGCGCCACUGCUGCCGCCCGCCGCGGGUGCCGCCGCCAUCGCGUCCGGCCCGCCGCCACCCGCUGCCUGUUUCAUGGUGGCAGCCAGCUGUGCUGCCAGCUGCGCCGAGUCGCCGCCCGCGCCCUCGCCCGCCAAGGCGGCGCCGCCCAGCACCUUGUUGAGCAGCGCCGCCACCUGCUGCUGGCUGGCCAGGAGCUCGCGCCGCAGCCGCGUGGCCUCGUCCUCGGCGGUCUUCUUGGCGUCACCCAGCCCAUGCAGCUCGCCGCGCAGGGAAGCCAGCUCAGACUGCGCGGGAGCGACACCACAAGGAGCGGGGGUGCAAUUUAACGACGUUGCAAGGAUGAGGAACGGGUGGAGUGGUGGUCCUGGGUUUGAGGUGCACAACCCCUCCCCCAAUACAGGCCCGGUCGUGUCACCCUGAUGUCAGCCGCGCGUUACCCUGACUCGCCCUAUGCAAAGGCCCGCGCUACUGCUGGAGUAACGCCAUAUGCCCGACCCCUCUUAAGUCUUAACGCACUCCCCGCGCUUCAUGCACCCUUGUCACCCAGGCUCGCGGGCGUCAGGGUAAAUAAUUUAGUUCCUCUCGCGCUUCUUUGGCGUUGAUCUCGAAUGCUACAUUGCAACCCUGCGCAUGUCGUUUCGGUGCCGGCGCUUUCUACGCGGCGACGGUGCUGCUGGUGCGCCAUAUAGGUGGGUAUACAGUCUGUGUUGCGCAAUUUAGUGUUGCGGAUAGGCGCCGCGACUCGAUGGUAUUGUCUACAGUGUACGGCCAGCGCCGAGCCGCCGACAAGAAGAACAAGGCUCGAGGGCGUCCAAGGAAAAGGAGAAGGCCAUACAUCCUCCGCGAUAUGUGAGCUGGUUCCGUGUCUUGGUUCUUUGGGAUCGGAAUACCCCCCCCCCCCGCCACGCUUUAACCCCCGCUCCCAGUCAGCCGUUGCAAGGGCUCUCGGACAUGCCCUCGACGCACCUCCAGCUUCCGCAACCGCGCCGAUUCGCUGGCGUCCACCUUGGCAAUGCUGGGCGACCCGUUGGCGGCGGCGUUACCCGCACCCGCACCACCUCCUGCGCUCGCACCGCCUGCCGCCGCCGUAGCUGCCGCGUUUAGCUGUGCGGCGGUGGAGCUGCCGGAGCGCUGCAGCUGCUGCCGUAACGAGCGGUUCUCGGCCCUGACAGGAAAGGAAGGGGCGAAGGGCGAUGGCCAGGAAACUCGCUACAAAUCCUCCUGGGGUUCAGUUGAUAGCCCACAAGGCACCGGAGGCUGUCAGCGAAGCUUGCAUGAAAACUACCACGAACCUUGACUUGCUCAACCGAAUAGCCUUUGAUGUCCCUCGCACUCCGGCUCGCUCACCUCAUCACCUCCAGCUCAUUGGCCAGGCGCUUGAGCUGCUCGCCCGCAAUCGCGGCCUGAGCCGACCCGCCCAGGCCGCCUGGGCCCAGCAGCCCCAGCGCGCCCGCGCCCACGCCGCCCGCCCCACCCGCCGCGCCCGCACCCGCCACCCGGGGCGCCAGAUUAGCCACUGACGACUGGCGCGGCACGUGUCGCACAUGGUGGCGCAGAGGGCUCUGCAAGCGUUUCAGGCGCAUUAUGUAAUGGGCAAGUGAGCCUACCAGCAGCAAGGAAACAUUGGAGCUGUAAGGGCUCUCGAUCCACCUUUCCCAGCGAUCGUUUGGGAUCCCCGGCCUGAAUGCACUAUCCGUCCAGGAUGUCUCUGUCACUCACCCUCGCGCCCAAAGCGCCAGCGCGCAACGUGCCGCUUGCAGUGGGGCCGACGCCGGCGCCGCCGCGGCCCAUGCCGCCCUCCUCUGCGCCCUCGCCCAUGCCCUCUUCGCCGCCCUCGCCGCCGGCCUCGCCCUCGCCCUCCACCCCCAGGUCCUCGCCCUUGCCCGCCGCUAGCGCCUCGUCGCCGCCGGUGCCGUCGUCCGCCUGGUCGCCGCCGCCGCCGUCGUUGUCGUCCUCGCCGCUGGCCAGGCUACUCACCUGCACGGAGCCCAGGACCCCGGCAUAGGACAGCAGGUAAGAUUGGCACCCAAGCCCAGGAGGGAUGGAGCAAGGGCAAACUGCGAGGUACACAACAGCCAACGAGCCUCCAACCGGCAGCCAGCAUCGCUAUGUGGGGAUUUAACUUUGCCAAACUGCCACUUGAACACGAUUGCCGGUGUUACCCACCUGCGUUGCACCAUCACCACCACCGCCAUUCCCCAGUCCCGGUCCCGCGCGUCCAUCUCCCGCCUAUGGCGUCCAGGCGUGGUCAGUUUGGGGCGGGUGCGGCCAGGGCAGUGAGCAGCCAGCCAGGAGCGGAAGGAGAGGGCCUGUACAGACUCCGCUCACAGCCAGCAACCUGCCACCUGCCCACUGCCCCGAACCCCCACCCCAUCCACACCGCCCCUCCCGCCCGCCUCCACGCCAACCCUAGUCCAUGCCCACCACAUCAGCUACGGUAUGUGCACCAGACCCUGAUGAUGCCCCACCGCCUGCCCUGCUGACCCCGUAUCCAUCUCACCCUGGCACUACCCCUUCAUGACACGCACCUGGAAGCUGGCCCCAGGCAGAAUGCCGGCCGGGUGCGCCCCGGCGUUCAUGGCGCCCAAUGCGGCGCCCAGGUCUGGGUCCGCAGCUGCUAGCUUCAGGUUAUCGUCCGACUUCUCCUGUAGAGCGCGGGAGUUUGAUACUGAGGCAGCGGCAGGGGGCAUGACACGAGCCUUUGCACGCAAGCCAUGACACGAGCCGUGACGAUACAGGCCAUCCCCGAUUGCUAACUCAGUUGUGUUUGCGUGCUUGGUUAUCAUGCGUUCCAUGAGAUUGAGCAUCAAGUUUUCGGUCAAGGGGGUGGUGGUAGCCAUUCAUGCGAACGGUGGUAGGCUACGGGGGAAGACAGAUGCAGCUGACCGCUCCCGCCUGCGACACCGCCAGCUGAAAAGGCUCGCUGCUCAACUCCUGCUGCCUCAUGUUCGCCAUCCGUCGCCUCCCACAUCAGCACCCCACCACACCCUACUCUUACCCGUAGGCUCAUGGCUCCGCCCAUGAGCUUGGAGCCCAGGGGCGCCAUACCGCUGCUGCUGGCGGGCCGGCCAAGGAUGGAGCUGUUGCGCACGGGCUUGCGCCGCCGUUGCCGCAGAGAGUCGGAGCGCUGCAGCCCGCCGCCCGUGCUGCCGUCCGGCCCCAGCCCCGAAGCCAGGAAGGCGGCAGGGUCCCCACUGGCGAUCUCGUCCUGCUCCCGAAAGGCGUCCAGCGCGUUCUGGAGGCUGUCCACCUCGCCGCCGUAGGAAAGGUUGUUGAGUGACCAUAGUUUGCUCUUGUUGCGGUUAGGCGGCGGAUGCAGCCGCUGAGUGGCGCCGCCCGCCGCACCACCAACCCCGGCGCCGCCUGCCAUACCGCCGGCUGUAGUCCGCGGCUGGUCCACGUGUGCGGGACUGGUAACGGGCGGCUCGCCACCCAGACCGCCUGCCGCUGCCGCGCCGUCUGCGCCGCCUGCCAAAGAGCGGCCAUGUGUCAGAAUGAAGCAUGCUCUGGAGUCGCAGCCCAACCCCUUUGUGUGCCACACUUCCAUGUACGCUGCCCUCCUUCAUCAUUCCAUGCACCCGUUCCCCGCCCCUGCGGUUCCUGGCACGCACCUGUCGCCGCCAUCACCAGCGCGUCAAACAGUUGGCUGACCGAGGUGCCGGAACGUUUUGGGCUCUCGCGACCCACUGGCCCGCCGCCCAGCGCCGCAGCAGCCGGACCGCGGAAGCCGCCUGGCCCGAACAGCGGCGGCCCUGCACCGCCCGCGACAGCGGUCAUGUCGGCUGGCCCCAGGCCUGGCACGCCGGGUACGCCCGGCACACCCGGCACACCGGGAACGCCCGGCGGCACGCCAGGCACCCCUGGGAGGCCGGGCAACCCAGCUACGCCCAGCCCCGGAAGGGCCGCCAGCCCCAUGCCUGCUGCUGCCGCAUACGCGCCGUUGGCCCCCGCCGCCAGUGCACCCAUAGCCGCCGCCGCGUCGGGCGCGUGGUACUCAGACUGCAGCAUGCAUGACAGAGCGGAUCCAUGCAUAACGAAAUCAGGGGCCAUCUUUUGCUGUGUUGACUUGCAGCCUCCGAUCAUGCCUGACUUGGAAGGGUGCCUUGUCCCCGCCUUCUGCCACGGCUGCGCGGCCCGGCUUACCUUCAUGACUAUGGCCUGUCGGUCGCCGCCACUGAAUGUCUGUGCGGGGGGGCCACCCAUGUGCCCCAUGGCGGCCGCCGCCAUGUGCCCCGGGUGUACGGCGCCCACGCCGCCGGCACCGCCCGAGCCCAGCGGCCCCACGGCCCCGGUGCCCACCGCCGCGCUGCCGAGCGGCGGCCCGCCCUGGCACGUGCACACCUCCGUCCCCGCAGACACGAUGAUGGAGGAGUUGCCCUGCUGAGGCGGGAGACGGGGACACUUGGGGGAGCUAGAAGACCAAAGGCGCAGCAUAAGCUUUGAGAGCACGCCCCGCCCUUGUAAAGCCACAUGCCCUCCCUCAAUACAAACGCGCGCGCACACGCACGCACCUGUUUGGCGUCAAUGAUCUCCACGUCCACCAUGCAGGGGCACAGCCCCAGGAACUCCAGGUCGUACCGGAUGACG